CACUUGACACUCACCAAUUCAAAAGUAAUUGAGCGAGAAAAUCUUUAGUUGUUCCCUCCGGGAUUCUCUUCAAGACUCGUUUGAGCACCUGAAGCAAUUAACAAGUAUUUUUCACUCACAAUCACGUAUUAAUCAAGAAAGGAGUUACGCUCAUUUGGACUAGUCAAUACCUCAAACCAAGAACCUUAGCCACUCAAAAUAAAGGUUCAAAAGUGAGGUUUUAUUAACACAAGAAAAACUGAUUUCCUUCAUGAAAUCAAGUUUAAAGUGACCAAUUAUCAUCAAGAAGGAGUAACGAGUUUUCAAAUUUUCAUUUUCUAAGAAAUCGGCAAAUUUCAAUUUUGCGCGUCAAAUUUAGAAAAAUCAGAUCUUGCACUCACUAGGUCCAAAAUUAGAAAACUUGGUACCGUUGGAAACCUCCUACAAAGUACUAAAAGUUCAUAAAAUACACUUUUCCAUGAAUCUAAGUGGAAGGUAUUCAAAAAUGGGCAUGAAGUUGCUGUUCCAGAACACUCAGAAUUGAGCCGGGGUUGGUUUUUUCGCUAACUUUGGAAAUUCGGCAAAAUUCACACGUUGCGAGUUAGCCUCUGAAAUUUGUAACUCAAUUAGAGUUGAAAGUAAGUUUAUAACAGAAAAAGCAGAUCAAGGAUCGGAGUUUCGAGCACCGAGAUAUGGUGGCUCAAAGUUAGGGAAAAUUCAAGACUGUUGAACAAUUUCCAGAUUUGGGUUUCCGACUUUGGACCUUUAGUUAAGUAUCGAAACAGACUUGGAUUGGUACCAAUUUUUGCAGUAUAGUACUCCUAUAUGAAGGGUAUCUCUCUAUCAAAUUUCGUGGAAAAAUACCUUCGGGAAGGUGGUUAACCAAUCAACCAAAGUUUUGAAAUUACUAAGGCAAAACUGCCUUUAGUUCCCUUUCUCUUGAUUUCCAAACAUUCGGCUAAGGAAAACCUCCAAACAUGGUUCAUUUGUGCAAGAAAGGUCUAAGGAACAUACAUGGUACAUUUAGUAGGUGUUUAGCACCAAAAUAUUCAGUUAGCGAGUCUAUACCAAGCAUUGCAUCAAAUCUGUCCAAAAGUCAGGGUUUUCAAGAGCAGGGCAGGCUCUGUAUUUUGAUCACAAGUCACUCACAUUAACUCGGAAUUGGGCAUGGUUUAUAGCGUUGGAAAACACAUUCAUAGAGCUAUAAGUUCACAGAAGAAAUCAUUUUAAAAUUCGGCAUACAACUAGCUCGAAAUCGAGCUUCAAAUGACAGCUUCUGUAUUUCAUUCCAGAAGAACAGAGAAACAGAACAGCUGAAUUCAGAAGAGUGGUGCCGCUCACACACAUGGAACCUGAAUGUGCAUUUUAUACCGUUGGAAAGGUGGGAAUGUCUAGUUUCAAAUGCCGCUGACGGCACUUGAUUUCGAUGUCGGACCACUGAGUUAUAGACAAAAUAUGAACACUGAUCUGAGCAUUACGGAAUCAGUUUCCAGAUUACUAGCUUUGGGAAAUAAAUUCAUUUGACCAGCCAAAACUCAGUAUUUUUCAAUGAAAAUUUUUAUACAACUACUACAACAUGUAAACAACACAAUCAAGCCAUUAAAUCCUCAAAUUUUUGCAUUAAAGUGGCCGAACAAAGCAGGGGCAAAAUGGUCAGAUUUGGCCUUUGCACCCCUCAUGAGCUUCCAUCAAUUUUCCACCAAUAAUCCACUAGUUUAAAUACUAAUACAACAUUAUAAACAUCAUCAAGCAUAAGAUCAGCUUCCAAGACAAAGAUGGGAGUUCAUAGAGCCCACCCAUUUCAUUUUACACCAUAACCAAGUCAUCCACAUGAAUAUCCAAGCCUACAAGUGUAAAUCAACUCUUAUAAACCAAGUUUAGAGUGUUAGAUCACUAUAUACCUCCUUGGUGUGCUUAAAACCAGAAUUUCGGCCCUCCUUGAAGCUCCAAGAAACCGUGAAAGCUCCUCCCUUUUGAAGCUCAAAGUGGUGUCCAAGUGUAGAGCUAAGUGUAUGUGAAGUUUGGUGUGAAUCUAUGAAGAUUUGUGCAAGAUUUGGAGAUGGAGAAAUUGAGAAGUCUUGGGUUGUUGUUGCAGCUUGAUGGCCGGCUGAUGAGAGCAGAAAAAGAAGAGCAAUUGCUGAUGAUAAGCUUCCGUGAG
RNAcentral lists this long non-coding RNA (2137 nucleotides) under Coffea arabica (coffee). Its description in RNAcentral is "long non-coding RNA (CARA_LNC004270)". The record is from RNAcentral. Lineage: Eukaryota; Viridiplantae; Streptophyta; Magnoliopsida; Gentianales; Rubiaceae.